Mastomys coucha (southern multimammate mouse) is the source of this 133-nucleotide small nucleolar RNA. RefSeq annotates it as small nucleolar RNA SNORA17. The record is from RefSeq and is a predicted model, not a curated record. The transcript has a single exon. Lineage: Eukaryota; Metazoa; Chordata; Mammalia; Rodentia; Muridae.
CCUGCCUCUAGAAGGAUGGCAGGUGUGGCUGCACGUACUGUGCGUCAGUCAGUAGGUGGCAGAGAGGAGAGAGGCUAUGACUACUCUCAGUGUUCUGACCUGUGAGCAUCUGACUGAUUAGUAGUCUAACUUU